Xenopus laevis (African clawed frog) is the source of this 530-nucleotide long non-coding RNA. RefSeq lists it as uncharacterized. The record is from RefSeq and is a predicted model, not a curated record. The transcript is spliced from 4 exons. NCBI's taxonomy places the organism in Eukaryota, Metazoa, Chordata, Amphibia, Anura, Pipidae.
GUGAUAAAAGGCACAGAGAGAGAGCAACUCCCAAAACUACGUGGCGAGCAACUCCCAAAACUACGUGGCUCUUCUCCUGCCUAAUGAAAGGCUAGCUUCAGCCUGCAGCUUACUGGCAAGUCUGGCACUCUUGCACUCCACAGCAACCAAUUAUUAUUACCUCAGCUCCCCUGGUUCAGCACAAUACACCUGCACAGUAUUUUUACAGUUAUUUGUUCCUGUGAGGUGUACACAGCUUCCUACAGCAGAAACACUGAGCUGAUCAACCUGAAAGUGAGCGUUCGGUGGUUAUUUGGAAAGCAAACUCUUGCUAUUUGUUCCCAUGUGGUGGUGUGCAGCUUCGAAGUGCAGAAAAAUAGCAGUCAUCAACCUCCUACUACAGUCCUGUUAUUAGGAAAGGCAGCAUGGCUUUCAGAAUCUCUGAAUCGAAAAAAGAACACAGAAAAAGAAAAGUUACAGAGGAAGGAAGAGUGUUUAAAGAAAAUUGGACAGAAGAGUACUUUUUUGUUGAGGCAAACAGUAAAGCACUC